AACUACAACUCGAACAGUGUUCAAUGAUAAGAAGAUAACAACUGGAGGUAUACUCGAUAGUGUGACUAUCAACAAAUGUAGAACACUAACACAAAGGAUAGAUAUGUUACAAAGGGAGACUUGCUCAAAGUAAAGAAACCUCUGAAAAGACUUCACUUGUGCCCUUGAAACAAUGCUCACAGCAGCGAGCAAGAAAUAGUCGAUAUCGACGUUGAAGAGACCUAACAGAUAGGUUAUAUGGUAUCCUAUCUGAUGUAAUCUCGCUUGCUUCUUCUUUCGAUGUUAUCUCUUUCAGCUGGAUUCCCCAUGAGAGAAAUUCAGUUGCUGAUAUGUUAGCAAAACAGAUCUUGGAUGUUGAACUUGCCAUUAUGGCUGCACCUAACUUCUGUUAAGGUUUUAAUAUAAGUGUGUUUCAAAAAAAAAAAAACUCUCAAAAAAUGUUUCUCAUAAAUAUAAAUUAACAAAAAGCUAAUACCAUAUCAAAGAACUCUAGGUUGAUACAAAGAGUUUUCUUAUUUGAUUGAUAACGAAGGCAUAGCCUUAUAUACAGACGAUUACUCUGGAAUAAGUUUUGGUAAUUUACCUAUGUAAAGUUUGUAAACAUUAACUAUAAACCAUUCCAUUUUCUCUCAGAACUUCAAAUGCAAAGGAAUAUGUGUUCAAGUGACAUUUUUCUUUCUUAAAAUGUGUUCAAUUACGUUAGCCAUACGUUGACUGAUAUCUCAUAUUUUUCCUUGGAACAAAAUGUUAACUGUUUCUUGAAAUGUUAUCUGUCAGUGUAAACUUGAUUAAAACUGGUGUAAAUACUCUGUUUUUUUUUUUUUGCGGUUCGAACGUGCGAUUAUAUUCUAAAACUUGUAUGAUUUCACAAAAUCAAAUUAUUAAAAGAUAUUGACAAUUAACUCAUUUGUGUUCCCUCGGCUCUAUAACACUGACUUGAGUGACUUCGGCAUCCUAUCUCUCGUAAGGAAGUUGAUAUUGGCUCCAAUCAAAAUCUCUAGAAGUCUCUUGACUCGGACUGAGGAUCUAACCACUAAUAUUUUUAACAGUACAUCUCUUUUAGCUUCGCUUGGAGUCAUUUCGUGUUUGACAGUAAGCUAUACUGAUGCAUUGCAGCGCAUACUAUGGACCAUGGGCUUACGAGAUAAAUGUGUUUAUAUUGUUUCUAUUUUAUUUAGCCAUUAUGUUAAUUAUGAGGAUAAGUAUAACUUCUGUAGAUUAGUGUGUGGAGAGACGGUUACGAUCUCGUUAGCCUAGUAUAUAUAGUUUGAUCUAUAGCUUUGUAAACAUUAUUGAUAUAUUGAAUAAGAAAAACCCUAGAACUUUCAGUUCUUCUUUCUUGUCUUCGGUAUUCUCCGAUUACCAAGAACCCUCGUUUGAACGGCUAUUCUUCGAAAUCAACGGUCAUCGUCGAACCGCCAUUCCUCUUGGAAUCAACGAUUUUCGAGCCUAUCCGACGCUGCCCCAUAUACACUUUGUUCUUUACAAAAAAAUGUGACAGGAGAUGCAAUGUUAUUUAACUCAUAAAAUGUAAACAUACUAUGUGAGUUAAACCUUGUAAGUUGUAACAUCGUCAGGUGCUUUAAGCUCCAUAUACACUUUGUUCUUUACAAAAAAAUUGUGACAGGACUCAGGAGAUGCAAUGUUAUAAAACUCAUAAAAUGUAAACAUACUAUGUACGUGAGUUAAACCUUGUAAGUUGUAACAUCGUCAGGUACCAUAAUCCUGAGUGACAAUUGUGUUGGAUUUGCUAAACAACAGAAGAAAAAAAGAAAAACUCUGGAAACUAUUGACAUACAAAACUUCACAAAGUCAGAUUCUUGAUAUUUAAUAUUUCAGCGGCUAAUUCUCAUACCGUAAGAGUCCGCGAAUCAAUUACCAAAGAGGAUGAACAAAGAGUCCUACAAAAAGUGAAUCAUGCCUUAUAUUGAUGAUGAAGAUUAGUUUACCUCUAUCCACCCUUUUCUACUCCUGUAACCUGAGAAUCCAUUGUGAUGGCCAUGCUGCUGUAUAGCAGCGAGUGCCAUUUAAAGCUUGAGACGUGUAAGAUCUAAGUCUAUUCGAAAAGUGGAAGAGAAAAGGAAGUGAGAGGAAGGAAGAAAGGGGUUAUCUGUAUGACCUAAUUUAAUGAGUAACCGACAAAGAACUCCGAAGAAGAAGACCAAUUCAAUUGAC
Molecule: long non-coding RNA, 2175 nt
Filed under: Brassica napus (rape)
Lineage: Eukaryota; Viridiplantae; Streptophyta; Magnoliopsida; Brassicales; Brassicaceae
Description: long non-coding RNA (BNAP_LNC002954)
Source: RNAcentral